GGUUCUGUAGAGACAUGAUGGCGAAGGUUCUACAAUGUGAAUGUACUUAACGCCAUUGAAAUGUACACUUAAACAUGGUUAAAAUGGUAUCUUCUACGUUAUGUAUAUUUUUACCAUAAGAAAAAGUUUUCUUUGUAUGAAAAUAUACCCUCUUAUAGACUCAAAGUUGCUGAUGAGCCCUCUACAUGGGUUGAUGUAACCAUCUCUUUACCUCAAGACGAGGUUGAUCCAUCCAAGAUUGAAGGGAAUUUACCCUAUUUUCAGAUAUUUCCAGGGAAGGGAGCCCAUGACAUUAUUAGAUAAUCUUUUCCAAUGUCUCAAAACCCCAGACAUUCUUGGUACCAGACCUUUCCUGCUGCACCUGCAGUUGACUUUCCUUGGUCAGUAAGUGCUUUGUCAGGCCACAAACUCUUCAUGCACUGAAAGGCUCUAGUUACACCAUCCCCAGUGUAGAUCUGAUGGUGCCAAGUAACAGGCCAGAGAGUGGACUUUGGAGGCCCAGUGAGGCUCCCUGUCUCACAGGCUUCUCAUCAGCAUCACAGAUGAACAACACUAGGCUUGGAUUUCUAAACAGCCUGGGACACAGGCCCCAAGGCCCUGGCAGGUGAAGUGUCUACCAUUUCUCACUUCAUUCAGAAUGUAGAAUAGUUUGUUGGAUGCUAGAACUUUACCCUUUCAGGUUGAUGUCUUUACUCUUCAGCUGGAGGCUUCUUGCUGAGAGGGAAGCAUUUCCCAAAGACACGGGAGCUGAGCUGGUGAGUCAUUUCAGCAGCCCUUACACUCUCCUCUGACCAGAGACCACAUAUUAAUCAGCUGCUUAAAAGGUGUACCUGGCAGGCAUGUUUCCCACAGCCCGGAAGAUGCUGACCUCAUCGGUUCUGAAACAUCAAAAGGCUAAACGAGAACAACAGGCUGCGAAAGACCUCAUCACGUGGGUACCUGUUGACCGCAGCCUUGUAAGGCCCAACACAGCUGAGAUGUGCUGUCUGGAGCUCAGAGGAAGUGGAGCUUUUUCUGCUGUGAGGACCCGCCUUCAGCCCCCUUCUGGGGUACAGGAAGGGGAGGGGGUGAGCCUAAAUUGUGGCGCCAUGCUCAGAUGUCACUGCUAUCACAAAGGAAAAUUCAUGUGGGGGUGGGCACCUCCAGAGACCUCACUCACCUGUGAUUCGAGGGAUAAUAGCAUCACUCGUGUGUUCAUGUGCUAGGCCUGUCACCCUGGAACAUUACUGUGUUGACAGUGAUUUCAACUCUUGGAUUAUAUGAAGGACCUGGCUGCCAGAAGGUGUUGAGCCCUCAGGAGGACAACAGGCCUCAGUGCCAUCCUCCUUCCACCCUCCCCGACCACCCCUCCUCUUUCUAAGCUCUUGGAACCAAGUAGCUAUGAAGACUCUGAGACCUGGACCAUCCCAAGGCUGUAGCUUUCUUCAAUGCUGCUGGGCUCUGCUACGGUGAAAAGUCUGAAGGCGUUUUCUUUUCCAGACGUAAUUAUUAACCAACCUUCACAUCAGAUUCACAAUCGGAAAGCCAGCUAUUAAACAUUUACCAGCACACUACUGGAGAGGAGUGUAUAUGGACUGCUCCCUUGGGAUUCCAGAAGAAAGAACGCUGUAGAACAUCUAUACAACUUGGCAAUCAGGGGCCUGAGGUACAGCUGAAGUACAGCUGUGGAAGAGGAGAUGCUAAAUUGCUGGGAAGAGAGCAACACAGAUGAUACAGUCAGCAGCCAGAGACUACUCUCAGAACAGGAAUGUGAAAAAAUCAAUCAGAUAUUCUGAACUGAAAUCUACCACUGGAUACCAACAAGGUUAAAUGGUAGAAAAGCCAUAAUCAUUUCUAAAUUCAAGGGUAGGAUUAAUGCUGUAUUUUUGCAGUAUCUGAAAGUUCUGUGGCCUUUCUUAUAUGCCAGUUUAUGUGAUCACCAGAACAGAACUGAGGUUCAGGGGAAAGUCAGCUAUCAGCAUUGGCCCCAUUUUACAGAUGGAAAACUGAGGCAGUGGAAGGUAAAAUAGUUUGCCCACGGUUACUCUUUUUGCAUAAAUGGCUACCCUGGGACUAGAGGCGGGGCAGAACUUUCACAGACCUUUGGGGUCAGACAUACCUUGGUUAAAAACUCAACCCUGACAUUUAUGUAACUUUGGUAAUGUUUCUUUACAUUUUUAAGUCUUGGGGUUUCUGUUUUUUCAUUUGUUUGUUUUUUAACUUACAAAAUGGGGAUGAUAAAGCCUAGAUCACAAGUUUGCAGUGAGGGUUAGUUUAAGGAGAUGAUAGGUGCGAAGGGCAUGGUGCUUGGAAAGCCUUUGCACCUCUCACCAUGGUGUGAUAAAUUAUUUACAUUUGAUUUUAAAAUACAGUAUAAGGCUCUUUUGGCUCACAUA
Molecule: long non-coding RNA, 2375 nt
Organism: Callithrix jacchus (white-tufted-ear marmoset)
Lineage: Eukaryota; Metazoa; Chordata; Mammalia; Primates; Cebidae
Source: RefSeq, a predicted model, not a curated record